Molecule: ribosomal RNA, 468 nt
Filed under: uncultured bacterium
Lineage: Bacteria
Description: partial 16S ribosomal RNA
Rfam family: Bacterial small subunit ribosomal RNA
Source: RNAcentral
GACGAACGCUGGCGGCGUGCUUAACACAUGCGAGUCGAACGGAAAGGCCCUGCUUUUGUGGGGUGCUCGAGUGGCGAACGGGUGAGUAACACGUGAGUAACCUGCCCUUGACUUUGGGAUAACUUCAGGAAACUGGGGCUAAUACCGGAUAGGAGCUCCUGCUGCAUGGUGGGGGUUGGAAAGUUUCGGCGGUUGGGGAUGGACUCGCGGCUUAUCAGCUUGUUGGUGGGGUAGUGGCUUACCAAGGCUUUGACGGGUAGCCGGCCUGAGAGGGUGACCGGCAACGUGGGGACGGAGGGCGGGCCCGGACGCCGAGGGGGGCAAGAGGGGGGAAUAUUUGACAAGGGGGGGGAAGCCGGAGGCGGCAGCCCCGGGGGGGGAAUGACGCCUUUCGGUUGGAAACCCGUUUUCGCUGGUAAGGAAGGGGGGGGGAGGUGAGGGGGUAAGGAGACCCCGCCUAACUGCGUC